AUGGCCUGGUCCCCUCUGCUCCUCAUGCUCCUCUCUAACUGCACAGGAUCCUGGGCCCAGUCUGUGCUGACUCAGUCAUAAUCAGUAUCUGGCAACCUGGGCCAGAGGGUCACCAUCUCCUGCAUGGGAAGCAGCUCCAACAUCGGGGAUGGUUAUAUUGUGCACUGGUACCAACAGCUCUCAGGAACAGCCCCCAAACUCCUGAUAUAUGGUAGCAGCAAUCGACCCUCAGGGGUCCCUGAUCGAUUUUCCGGCUCCAGGUCUGGCAGCUCAGCCACCCUGACCAUCACUGGGCUCGAGCCUGAGGACGAGGCUGAUUAUUACUGCUCAAGUUGGGAUAACACAAGCCAUGGGGAAAAAAAUGACCAUAGAAAGUAUUUAUGCGACAGAGAAAAAGUAAGGACAAAGUGA
Molecule: non-coding RNA, 411 nt
Organism: Talpa occidentalis (Iberian mole)
Lineage: Eukaryota; Metazoa; Chordata; Mammalia; Eulipotyphla; Talpidae
Source: the annotation of a RefSeq genome assembly